This 440-nucleotide ribosomal RNA is filed under the name uncultured bacterium. Its description in RNAcentral is "partial 16S ribosomal RNA". It matches the Rfam family "Bacterial small subunit ribosomal RNA", at positions 338 to 795 of the family's 1533-position model. The record is from RNAcentral.
CCUACGGGGGGCAGCAGUGGGGAAUAUUGCACAAUGGGGGAAACCCUGAUGCAGCGACGCCGCGUGAGUGAGGAAGUAUUUCGGUAUGUAAAGCUCUAUCAUCAGGGAAGAAAAUGACGGUACCGGACUAAGAAGCCCCGGCUAACUACGUGACAGCAGCCGCGGUAAUACGUAGGGGGCAAGCGUUAUCCGGAUUUACUGGGGGUAAAGGGAGCGUAGACGGCUAAUCAGGUCAGAAGUGAAAACCCAGGGCUCAACUUUGGGGCUGCUUUUGAAACUGGGUAGCUAGAGUGCAGAUGCGGUAGGCGGAAUGCCUGGUGUAGCGGUGAAAUGCAUAGAUAUUAGACAGAACACCGAUGGCGAAGGCAGCUGACGAAACUGUAACUGACGUUGAGGCACGAAAGCGUGGGGAGCGAACAGGAUUAGAUACCCGAGUAGUC